AUUGAACGCUGGCGGCAUGCUUUACACAUGCAAGUCGAACGGUAACAGCACUCCGGUGGCUGACGAGUGGCGAACGGGUGAGUAAUACACCGGAACGUGCCCAGUCGUGGGGGAUAACUACUCGACAGAGUAGCUAAUACCGCAUGAGAUCUAAGCAUGAAAGCCGGGGACCUUCGGGCCUUGCGCUACUAGAUCGGCUGAUGGCAGAGUAGGUAGUUGGUGGGAUAAAAGCUUACCAAGCCGACGAGCUGUAGCUGGUCUGAGAGGACGACCGGCCACACUGGGACUGAGACACGGCCCAGACGCCUACGGGAGGCAGCAGUGGGGAAUGUUGGACAAUGGGCGCAAGCCUGAUCCAGCAAUGCCGCGUGCAGGAUGAAGGCCUUCGGGUUGUAAACUGCUUUUGUACGGAACGAAAAGCCCUCGUCUAAUACAGGGGGGUCAUGACGGUACCGUAAGAAUAAGCACCGGCUAACUACGUG
This 482-nucleotide ribosomal RNA is filed under the name uncultured bacterium. Its description in RNAcentral is "partial 16S ribosomal RNA". It matches the Rfam family "Bacterial small subunit ribosomal RNA", at positions 30 to 507 of the family's 1533-position model. The record is from RNAcentral.